RNAcentral lists this transfer RNA (73 nucleotides) under Sandaracinaceae bacterium. RNAcentral describes it as "tRNA-Lys". It matches the Rfam family "tRNA". From Rfam's summary of the family: Transfer RNA (tRNA) molecules are approximately 80 nucleotides in length. Their secondary structure includes four short double-helical elements and three loops (D, anti-codon, and T loops). Further hydrogen bonds mediate the characteristic L-shaped molecular structure. tRNAs have two regions of fundamental functional importance: the anti-codon, which is responsible for specific mRNA codon recognition, and the 3' end, to which the tRNAs corresponding amino acid is attached (by aminoacyl-tRNA synthetases). tRNAs cope with the degeneracy of the genetic code in two manners: having more than one tRNA (with a specific anti-codon) for a particular amino acid; and 'wobble' base-pairing, i.e. permitting non-standard base-pairing at the 3rd anti-codon position. Lineage: Bacteria; Pseudomonadati; Myxococcota; Polyangiales; Sandaracinaceae. The record is from RNAcentral.
GGGUCAUUAGCUCAAUUGGUAGAGCAGUGGACUCUUAAUCCAUUGGCUGGAGGUUCGAGUCCUCCAUGACCCA